This 492-nucleotide ribosomal RNA is filed under the name uncultured bacterium. Its description in RNAcentral is "partial 16S ribosomal RNA". It matches the Rfam family "Bacterial small subunit ribosomal RNA", at positions 29 to 507 of the family's 1533-position model. The record is from RNAcentral.
AGUGAACGCUGGCGGUAGGCCUAACACAUGCAAGUCGAACGGCAGCACAGUAAUAGCUUGCUCUUACGGGUGGCGAGUGGCGGACGGGUGAGGAAUACAUCUGAAUCUACUUUUUCGUGGGGGAUAACGUAGGGAAACUUACGCUAAUACCUCAUACGACCUACGGGUGAAAGCAGGGGAUCUUCGGACCUUGCGCGAUUGAAUGAGCCGAUGUCGGAUUAGCUAGUUGGCGGGGUAAAGGCCCACCAAGGCGACGAUCCGUAGCUGGUCUGAGAGGAUGAUCAGCCACACUGGAACUGAGACACGGUCCAGACUCCUACGGGAGGCAGCAGUGGGGAAUAUUGGACAAUGGGCGCAAGCCUGAUCCAGCCAUACCGCGUGGGUGAAGAAGGCCUUCGGGUUGUAAAGCCCUUUUGUUGGGAAAGAAAAGCAGCAGGUUAAUACCCCGCGGUUCUGACGGUACCCAAAGAAUAAGCACCGGCUAACUUCGUG